Long non-coding RNA from Poeciliopsis prolifica (blackstripe livebearer), 437 nucleotides. RefSeq lists it as uncharacterized. Lineage: Eukaryota; Metazoa; Chordata; Actinopteri; Cyprinodontiformes; Poeciliidae. The record is from RefSeq and is a predicted model, not a curated record. The transcript is spliced from 3 exons.
GUUCCGUCCAGCAGGGGGCGAUGAGCCGAGCCGUAAGAACCACAAAGUUUCAGCUCAAACCAGAACAAGGAGGCCGAUGAUGCAGGGUCAGUUUCCUCAAUCUCAGAUUUAACCUGAGAUUCUUCUCUGUUGACCUGAGAAGCCAGGGAUGUCCAAAGUGUGGCCCAGGGGCCAUAUGGGGACGUCUGGAUGACUUUGUCUGGCCCUCCAGUUGAACUCAUCCCUUCAGCUCUGGCAGGUCGAACCAAAACAUCUGUGGGUCAAACUGAAAGAAGCAGCAGCAGCAGCCGUGACUCAGACGUCUUGGUUCUGGUUAAAUCUCCCCUCAGAUCCGGUUUCCUCCCGGGGAACCGAGUUCCUCAAAAGCUCCGAGUCCCACAGGAAGCAUCGCUGCCGCGCCGGCCUGUCCGGCAGGAACGCUGCAGGAUGCCCGCUCU